Molecule: ribosomal RNA, 254 nt
Filed under: uncultured bacterium
Lineage: Bacteria
Description: partial 16S ribosomal RNA
Rfam family: Bacterial small subunit ribosomal RNA
Source: RNAcentral
GACGUAGGGCGCGAGCGUUGUCCGGAUUUAUUGGGCGUAAAGAGCUCGUAGGCGGCCUGUCGCGUCGACUGUGAAAACCCGCAGCUCAACUGCGGGACUGCAGUCGAUACGGGCAGGCUAGAGUUCGGUAGGGGAGACUGGAAUUCCUGGUGUAGCGGUGAAAUGCGCAGAUAUCAGGAGGAACACCGGUGGCGAAGGCGGGUCUCUGGGCCGAUACUGACGCUGAGGAGCGAAAGCGUGGGGGAGCGAACAGG